Molecule: long non-coding RNA, 3147 nt
Filed under: Daphnia pulex (common water flea)
Lineage: Eukaryota; Metazoa; Arthropoda; Branchiopoda; Diplostraca; Daphniidae
Description: uncharacterized LOC124194571, transcript variant X2
Source: RNAcentral
UAGCCUACUUUAUUAUAGGAAGCCCAACGGUUUGGGCUUUUUUUGGAAGCCAAUUUGGGUUCCCUUCCUCUUAUUUGGCUCCGCCCUAAGUGGACCCACGGGAGCCAAUUUAUCGUCUAGCGGCGAUAUUUGAAAACACGGAUUUGUUUACGUUUCUAUCGAUAUGAUUGUUAAAUGGCUACGAAGGGCCAUUCACUAAACAAUAAUGUCCACCGUUCCAUGUAACAUUGUCAUGAAAUCCCUCACGGCAACAUAUUAAUGGUGCGUUCAUAAAUUACAGGGUUCCCCCCAAACCAUAACAUUCGAAAUUUCGGAGGGCGUGUCAUUAUUUCGCUCACCAGAUGGCCCCCCUGGGUCCACUUGGAAGAUGCGAAAUCGGAGGAAAGGUGAGCAAAGUAGGCUUCACUUUUCCAACACGCGAGAGAUAUCCUUCCUUUGGGCUUCCUAUAAUAAAGUAGGCUAUGGUAAGAGUCGCUUACGUCAACAAUUCGUGCCUCAUUACCAAACAGCAAAUGCACCGUGAGUGUGGAUUGUGGUCGAGGAGAAAUUGGCGAUGGUGAAGAAACUAUUGACAGGGAGGACCGUAAGACGUGAUAGUACUCUAGCAGCCCCAUCAAUUCCAACAGUUGCUUGAAGAUUUGGUCAAGACAGAAUUUGAUAAAAAGCCCUUUAUCAAGAGUAAAAAAAUUGAGGCAGGUGGUUCCCUCCGUACAGUUGAAAAACAAGCAUAUAGGUGCAAACUGGUGCAUACAGUUGCAACAGUUGCUGGAAGAUUUGGCCAUGACAGAAUUUGAUGAAGACCGCCCUUUGUCAAUAAAAGCAAUGCAUUUUGAAGAAGGCAAAAACAAAUCUCUGUAUCCUGACGAUGAAGUGGCUAGAGUUACCUUUGAGACUGUCAUCCAAGUGGAGAAAGAAAAAGCGAAAUGUAUUCUACCCCCUUCGAGACUGUCAUUACAUUGGCACACUAUCAUGUUGAUAACAUUAAUGAUUCUGGUGGAGUCACCAUCAGAGGGAAAGCAGUGGUCCCCCAAUUAAUCGAAAUCCCAAUCUCCUUUACUAGCAGACAUAAUUUUCAAUUUGGGUAUGGAAGGCUGGCACAAAACAUGUUAACCAGGAAACGGGUGAUGCAAACCAACUUCUUAAAACUCAGUGAUGACCGUUUAAUGUUCGUGUCAACUGCCCAUCCUUGAGGACCGCCCAGUCAACGAACCGCCAACCUAAUCGCAACCUGCUGCAACCAGCACUGAGAACUCGCGAAUACGAGGAACUACACAACUUUGUACGGAAGUUGCAAACCAACAAGAGCUCCUGGCUGUUCCUCAAGUCUGGCUGUAACGGAAGUCCACAACUUUUGUAAGAUCAUCAAGAUGACAAAGAGUUGAUACCUGCGACUUGGUUCAAAACCUAUAGCCUUCUGUUGCUUAAGUUGGCGUGAUGAAGUACCAGUGGUGAAGUCAGAAAUGGAAACAGUUAACUAUGGCUUUGUACUGCUGUUGGUUGUUGUAUCGUUGAUAACUGGGUCGACCACGAGUGUACCGAUGUCUGGGUAUGGUGGAUUCCAAGCAACAGCAGCGAAAGAAUAGUACACCACGUUGCAGCCUUACGUUGCAGCCUUAAAACACAACAUCGUCAACAUGCGUAAUACCUACUUACUACACCAUCAAGGCUCCAAGACUACACGAAAACUUACGCUGCCCUUGAGCUACUACACGGAGUUUCAUCACCAAAGCGCCUGAGUACUACCCAGAGGCUCCCAAUUACUAUUCUCGUCAUAGCUACUACACCGAGGUUGCAGCUUGUUACACCACCAAGGCGGUUGAGUACCACGCCGAAGCGUUCAAGUACUAUACUGCAACCUACUGCCGCGCACUAUUUGUCACCAACUGCCUUCAUCGUAUUGAUCUAGUUCUCAAUAAUGGCUAACUAUGGCUUUGUGCUGCUUUUUGGUUUUGCAUCGUUGAUGGCUGUGUCCAACAUUGGUGUACCGAUGUCUCGUGGGUAUGGCGGAUAGCAAACCGCAACGCCGCUGCCUUACUUCACAACAACAACAACAACAUACGCAACAGUCGGUUACUACACCACCAAGUCUUCAGAGUAUUACACCGAAACUUAUGAUGCCCCGAGCUACUACAUCGAGCUCCGAACUAUAAGUCUGCCCUGAGCUACAUUACCAAAGAGCCGGAGUACUACCCCAAAGCGCCCAAAUACUACAUUAAAACCUACGCUGCUCCUAGCUACUACACCGACGCCCCGAAGUAUUACUCUGCGUAUAAGGAGUCGUCUAAUAAAAAAGUCGUAUGCGUGCGGAAAGAGAAAAGGAAGUAGAAAUCAGUCGAGUGAGGAUCUCCUACACGUCAACAACUGCAGUGUACUGUCUGUCACCAACUGCAUUCCUCAUCGUGUAACCAAAUCGCAAUCAUGGCAGGUACAAUCACCGCACUGCUCGAGUUGAAAGGUUAAUCAGUAGAAGGAGAAACUUUUAAGCGAAAGAGAAAUGUCGAUAGAAGUCAGUCGAAUGAGCAUCUCCGAUAUGCAACAACCAGUUCGCAAUUAUGGUUAACCAUAGCGUCUGCCCCGAGCUACACCACCAAGGUACCAGAGUACUACACGAAUACGUAUGCUGCCCCAACCUACUACACCGAGGCUGCCAAGUGCAACUCUGUCCUCAGUUACUUACUGCACCAAUCCUAAGUACUACUUUGUUCCCAUCUACUACACCGAAGCUCUAGCUUAUUACAUCCCCGAAGCGGUCUACUAUUACACCGAAGCGCCUAAGUACUACACUGCAACCUACGCUGCACCACGGAGCCAUCGGAAUACUAAAUCAUAACCUAGCCUACUACACCGCCCCGAUCUACACAACCACAUCUGAGCCAGCCAAGUAUUGUUAUACAGCGCCUUCAAUUUUCUAGUAAGGUGGCAGUGACUUGUGUUAAGGGUUUUGAAUUGGAAUUGGAAAAAUCCUGAAAGUGUGCUGUUCAGUACUGGUUCUGUUGCAGCCUAUGCCGAUGAAAGGAAUUUUGUAUUUUGUUAAUUUCAUAUUAUGUACAGUUUAAAAAAGUUAAUUAACUGUUAUUAAACGUUUAUAUGUAAAGAAGGAAAAAAAUUAUGUAAAAUUUACAUGGUUAUGUAGAUUGAAAAAUUCUU